This 1582-nucleotide long non-coding RNA is filed under the name Macaca fascicularis (crab-eating macaque). RNAcentral describes it as "lncRNA (ENSMFAG00000051671.1)". Lineage: Eukaryota; Metazoa; Chordata; Mammalia; Primates; Cercopithecidae. The record is from RNAcentral.
UUUUUUUUGUAUUUUUUUUAGUGGAGACGAAGUUUCACCAUCUUGGCCAAGCUGGUCUUGAACUCCUGACCUCGUGAUCCACCCUUAUCACCCUCCGAAAGUCCUGUCACUACAGGAGUGAGCUACCGUGCCUUGCCUCCUCUUCCCUUUUCUUUGUCUUCAAGUGUUCAGGCGACAUGGCGCUGGCCAGGUAGAGACCCCAUCUGCAUAAUAAAAGAUUAGGGUGGGAUGGCCAGCCUCUUCAUGCAUCACAUAAAUGGCACACCUGGUCCAACCAAUCUGAGCCCUAUGUAAAUCAGACACUGCCUCAUCAAGCUCAUCUAUAAAACCUACCAUAACUCACCCAAAACCUAGAAACCCGCUCAGGCACCUUUCCAAUGCAUAGGGAACUCUCUCUUCUUUCUUUUGCCUAUUAACCUUCCACUCUUAAACCCACUCCUUUUGUGUCUACAUCUUCAAUUUCCAUAUUGUGAGACAAAAAACCUCUGGCAUUUACCCAAAUGAUUCUGCGUCACUGCCAUCUCUAGCACAAGUGCCGAAAAUGACCACUUUAGCCUGAUGAGUGCCACGGCGGCUACCAUGCUGCUUAGGACAAGCAAAGAUAAGAAGAUGGAGUCGGGAAUGGUUUAUCAGAGAAGCCGCAAUAAAAGCAUGUCCCAGGCAACUUUCCACUUCUUAACUUCUGUCAUUUUCAAACUUAAAGGUGUUUAUUUUUGUGUGUUUGUUGUUGUUCUUUUUGUUGUUUUUAACAGUUUCUAUCAAAGACUUCUCAUGGUUUUCUUGCUAUGACAUAUUUAUCGUUUCUUCUAAAGUCCUUUCCAACAUUUCCUACAGGAACUUAAAAGACAUGUGUUUGGUUCACACCUUGAUCCCCUCUCCACCUAAAAUUCUUUUUACUUUCUCCCAGGAAGAUUCUACCCCUCCUAUUCUGCCAGUUCCCUCAUAUUUGCCUCAAACGGUUACCCCUGUAGGCAGAUGAACCUGGGGCAAUUCUACUUUACUAUGGACACCAGCUCCUCUGAAAUAACAUCUGAGUCUUGGGAUGUGCAUAUGAAUCUUCCCUUGACACAGCAAACAGUCUUUCCUUUUACCUUCACUAAAGGCAUCCACUUGGGAGAAUGGACAGCACUAAAAUUCCACAGAUUUCAAAAACCAAACGUGCUGUGCCUUUCUAGAGAUCUUGGAAUGAAGAUGAGAAAGUAGGUUAGAAGGGAUAAUUUCCUCCUUCCUUUGUCAAUGUGAAGGACCUCCUAUUUUUAAAGGGAAAAAUUGGGGACAGUCCAAAAGAAACUCUUGGAAAUCAAGCCUUGCCAUGCCACCACGAGAAGGGUAACCUGUGUGCCCAGGGGUGAAAUUUUUAAAUUUUUGUAAUGGUGUUCAGGGUCACCCCUAUGGAUAACAAAAAUAUUUAAAAACCUAUACCUGUGCCAACCUUUCAGAACCAUGUCUCUUCGCAAGGACCUACCAGGGCUUAGAGAUCAUAGCACCACACUGGCAGCCUACAGGCAAUCUCCAAAGGCUCCCAUCUGCCCCAACCAACACACACACACACACACACACACACACACACACACACACACAC